CACGUAGGAUCCGAGCGUUAUCCGAAUUCACUGGGCGUAAAGCGCUUGCAGGCGGCUGGGUAAGUUGGAUGUAAAAUCUUCUGGCUCAACUGGGAGAUGCCGUUCAAGACUGCCUGGCUAGAGGGCGAUAGAGGGAGGUGGAAUUCCCGGUGUAGUGGUGAAAUGCGUAGAUAUCGGGAGGAACACCAGAGGCGAAAGCGGCCUCCUGGAUCGCAACUGACGCUGAGAAGCGAAAGCUAGGGGAGCAAACGGG
Molecule: ribosomal RNA, 253 nt
Filed under: uncultured bacterium
Lineage: Bacteria
Description: partial 16S ribosomal RNA
Rfam family: Bacterial small subunit ribosomal RNA
Source: RNAcentral